Linepithema humile (Argentine ant) is the source of this 406-nucleotide non-coding RNA. The record is from RefSeq and is a predicted model, not a curated record. NCBI's taxonomy places the organism in Eukaryota, Metazoa, Arthropoda, Insecta, Hymenoptera, Formicidae.
ACGGUAGCCAUCUUUGAUAAAGUAAAAUAUGCAAAUAUGGUAGCGUCCACUGUUGAGGUCAGUUGAGGUUGAGAUUCCAACUGUCGUAUGUACGUCGUAUCGAGUUAGUUGAACAAAAUUUUUACUCAUGCUACAAAAAUGGUAUCAUCGUGUACAUAUUGUGGUUCAAAACAAGGGAUCGAGGGUAGAACACAUCAUAAGUUUCCUCUGAAAGAUAAGGAAAUAUUGCAGUUAUGGUUGCAGAACAUGAAUCUCGGAUCAAAGUUUGUACCAAAGAAUCAUUCUUUAUUAUGUUCAGACCACUUUGAAAAAAAAAUGUUUUUAAGAAGGAACAAAUAAGAAAUGUUUACGCAUUGGUAGUAUUCCAACAUUAUUUGGAGAAUACAAAUCAGUUUGCGUUUAUUGC